This 76-nucleotide non-coding RNA is filed under the name Ruminococcus sp. Its description in RNAcentral is "c-di-GMP sequence". It matches the Rfam family "c-di-GMP-I riboswitch aptamer". From Rfam's summary of the family: GEMM was predicted in a large-scale screen for bacterial structured RNA regulatory elements. Lineage: Bacteria; Bacillati; Bacillota; Clostridia; Eubacteriales; Oscillospiraceae. The record is from RNAcentral.
AAUAAACACGGGCAAAGCAGCCGAAAGACUGUGGCGCAAAGCUAUAGGGCCUGUAAAAUGGCAGCCAGUUGCAUAA